Molecule: ribosomal RNA, 506 nt
Filed under: uncultured Lactobacillales bacterium
Lineage: Bacteria; Bacillati; Bacillota; Bacilli; Lactobacillales
Description: partial 16S ribosomal RNA
Source: RNAcentral
CACGUAGUUAGCCGUGACUUUCUGGUUGGAUACCGUCACUGCGUGAACAGUUACUCUCACGCACGUUCUUCUCCAGCAACAGAGCUUUACGAGCCGAAACCCUUCUUCACUCACGCGGUGUUGCUCCAUCAGGCUUGCGCCCAUUGUGGAAGAUUCCCUACUGCUGCCUCCCGUAGGAGUAUGGACCGUGUCUCAGUUCCAUUGUGGCCGAUCAGUCUCUCAACUCGGCUAUGCAUCAUCGCCUUGGUAAGCCGUUACCUUACAACUAGCUAAUGCACCGCAGGUCCAUCCCAGAGUGAUAGCCAAAGCCAUCUUUACAAAACAAAAAGCCAAUGUGGUCUUUUGUUGUUAUGCGGUAUUAGCAUUCUGUUUUCCAAAAUUGUUAACUCCCCCGCUCCGAGGGCACGGUUACCUACGUGUUACUCACCCCGUCCGCCACUCACUGGUGACUCCAACGUCAAUACAGGUGACAAGCCACCAUACUAAUUAGUUGGCCAGUGUACCGG